AAUGGAACAAUAAAACAAAACUACCCGACCUCAAAACAAACUGCAAAACAACUAAAGUUUUAAUCCGAAGAUAGAAAACACAAACAAACAUAAAGCAAAAGGGGUAGCCGGCCGAGAUAUAAUGUUGAUGGAGUGACCGGAAACACCAUCCACCAUCAAUCUUUAGUCCAGACGGCGGGCAGUCCCACCUGAAAUUUGAAACAGGAGGCACACCUUCCUUAUUCGGAGAGUACAAUUGGUCGGCUUUCGACCAAUAUCCUCUCUAGUGCCUUCUCCCUCGAGCCCACUACCCUGUCUGCAACGCUUUCGGUCCUCUAAGAGUUGCAUCCCGCGUGAUUGUGUCGUUUCGAUAGUAGUACCAAGCUUCGAGGUCGUGUUCGACCUUUACACAUUCACAGAGCUCCGCGCGCCGUGCGGUCAUCCCCUACUAUUGCGCGGACAUUGCCGUAGUCGAGUCGUAGAGAGCGGCUGAUGGAUAUGGAGUUGGCUGAGAAAAUCCCCAAGAUAGGGGUAGAAACGUGCACUAGAUAGUGGCAGAGUGGCCCGAAUCUCUAGCUUUAUAAUUUGUAAUUAUGAGUAUCUCAAUCUGUUAUUUCAUAAUAAAUCAUGGCUACAAAUAUUUAAAAAAACCCUCAUCCUUCUGAAAACCAAACAAGUGUAUGAAAUAAAAUCAAAUGUUAUUUAUAGAUGAAGAUCCUCACAGGCAAUCCUCUGGAAGUAGACUCUCUUAUCAACAAGAUCAAAGCCAACGUUGUAGUUCUGUUGAGCCAAGAUACCAAUGCAACUAGAGUCUUCACCCUCGGAAGUUUCAAGGAAUGCCAAGCAAAAGUUGUCCCAGUUAAGUUGCACGAAGGUUCCGAAUCCGUCGAGGUACAGGUCCGCCCCGCCUUCGAAAUGGAUACCCAGAAGCGGGAAACUUUGAGCGACUUCAGCGACUCUCCCACCAAAGCAAAUCCUUCCAUUUGCUUGUUGUAUCCACACUCGAUUCCAUUUCGUGCCCCUUAGCUGUUCACGGACUGCAUAUUCCACCAUUUCGAAAGCUUCUUUCUUCAGGUAUGUGUACUGUUACAAUCCAUGAUGAGGUGAAAUUUUAGCCGGCUUACCCCCCGAAACAACAGUACAAAACUCGAACCCCGUAAUGAGAUCAACGAAAUUAAGUUCAAUUGAUCCAAAUGCUGUUAGGCCAGCUGGUUAAAGCAGUUGAUCGGAGUAGCUACGGCCUACGGAUGCUUGGACGCACAAUCACCCGUUUAUAAUAGCCAGGUUUUCAUAAACUACUUUGUUAAAUCGUACUUGAAUGAAACAAUCAUAACUAAGCAGGGUCAAAUGAUGACAAUAAAAAGUUAUAUAAACAGUCACCUGUGCUCCGGUGUCGAUCAUGACCCCGUCGUCCACGCCGGGAGUUUUCUUGAAAGCGGAAUCGGGUAUGUCCAGAGUGGACCCACCAAGGCUAAUUCGCUCCACGGUUACAUAAUACAACCCUUCUCGAUCGUUAACGGCGUCCAAACUCCUUCCAUCAGCGCUCCUUCUCCGAUCUCCAACCGAUUGAAAUCGUAGAACGGGUCAUACACGUCCCCUAUACAAUACGAAAACCUCGGCUUGCCGACCCGCCAAACUAGCGAAUCGGGUUCUGCUCCGAGACCCAUUACUCCGCUCAUGUGAGACUCCCUCGGUAGAUCUUCAGGUUUCCGACAGCAACCAAAUUGAACAGCCGGCACGGCGGUGUAUCCACUGUCCCACGUGGAGAAUGUCAGCUGUUCUGUGGCUAUGAUUCCUUCCGACGAUGGUGCGCCCACAUAUUGUAUGUUGUACUCGCAUUGGUUCGUGGUCGUAUUGCAGCUCCGGCAGGUGGGAUCACACGCCUUCAAAGUGAAAAAUAAGUUGAGAAUUUUAACUAGUUAUAAAAUUUGCAAACACACCUUCAAAGUGAAAAAUAAGUUAAUUCAAAACUUUGAAUUCAAAAUGAAUUCCUUUCAUAUACCAAACACAACAAAAUUUAUUUCGAAAUUAAUUUCAUAAAAUUUUGAAGAAUUCAUUUAUACCGUUCGGAGAGUAAAGAAUAAUGCUAAAAUAAUUAAAAACUAAAUUCCAACUCUCAUAACACUACAACAUAAAUUCGAACUCUAAUUUUUUAUCACAAAUCUAUAUAACCCAAAAAUUAAACUCUAAACCCUUUAUACUAUUUCUCGAAUUCUAUAACCGAGUGCCUACGGGUACCAGAUGGUUCUCUUUUGAUUAUGCAUUUACAUAUCAAUCUUAAUUAUCUUUGUUGGUGCGAAGAUAAUGAAAUCUUUAAGAACACUCUCUAUUUCUUUCUGCUCGUGUUUUAAAGAGAAAUCUUUCCAUACAAAUGUUAUGCAAGAGUCUUUUCUAUUCACAAUUUCGGAAUAUAUAGACACACCUUGGGUUGGAAAGUGGAGGACUUGGAGGGAUCGAAGAAGCGGGUGUUGGAGGUGGGGGAACAUGGGUGGCAAGGAAGACAUUUGACCCAGAGCAAGCUGCUCCCUGUGUCCAUUACGGCCAGCUGAGGCACCGGCGGCUCCCCAAUUGAGAAAUUGACGUAGUAGAUUGAAUGGCUACCUGGGAUAAGGUUUGCCCCUAUAUGAUCCUUUUCUGUAGAAGCUUCUACCAGUUGUUGUUGGUGUUGUAUGGAUGAUUGGUUGACUGCCGUGGGGGAGAAGAUUGAGUUGUGGUGGAUAAGUUUGAGGGUUAUUCGAGCAGAGUCAAUGCAGUUAGAGUUUGAAGUUAUUAUUAUUGUGAGCAUUAGCAGAAUACCAAUGGAAGUUGACAUUCUUAUUCUUUAACUAGCUACUGUGUGUAUUUUUUCUGGGGAAGAAGGGAAAUGGGUUAAAAAUGUAGGAAAUAGGGUGAAAGGGGGGGAAGUUUGACAAGGUAUAGGUCUGUUACUGGUAAACAAGAGAGCAAAUAAGGUAAUGAUGAAGUGGAUGGUAGUUUAAGUUAAGUGAAGCAGCAGAUGGAAAGCAAGACAGAAACAGGUUUUAUGGAAGGAACAACAAUGGUAAAGACAAGUUUAUUGUAAGGAAAUGUUAUCUACCAAGUUAUUGGAAUAAGUAAAUGUUCAUUAUGAAUUGCAGGUAUUAUCAUCAAAACAAGUACUACUUUUCCAACACACUCUGCCAUGCAUACCAUACAACAUCAGAAACAAAGCUACUACAUAUUGUUAUUAUAGAGUAGUAAAUCACGAGUUACCAAUUUAAUCUGCACCGUUUGCCGUCAAACUUGUACCUCUAGAGGCCUGGGCACUGUUACCAAUUUGCUAUUGUCUCAGCAUUUCAGCAUCAGUUGGCUUCUGCUGCCCAUGCGCUUCGGAGGAAUCAUACCAAGCAUGGCGAUUAUUGGGUACAGAAGUAUAGUAGUACUGUCGCUCAUGAACUUAAAGUUGGUACCCAUAGUUAGAAGAGUAUAUAUGUCCAGGAAGCUCUGAUGUUUGGAAACGUAGACUGCAAGUGUGCUAGCAGCAGGUGGCAGAUUCUCCACUCCCUCAAACUUUAUGUCAGGAAAAACUGGAGUAACGGUUAAUUUUGAAGGGAAAUUUUUUUGCGGUUGGGAAGCAGUUGGAGGUGGAUUCCAUUUACAGUAUCCCAAUCUAUCAUUUCUAGACACAUUACUUGAUGUCAAUGGUGAUGACUGAUAAGGUGUCAAUACAUUUUAAGGACCAUGCUUGAUCAUACAAUGACGAGUUCUCAUUCACAUGCUUUUCAUGGUCUGCAGUUUAGUUCUGAUGUGAUCUUAGGUCUGCAGUUCAUCCAGCAACCGUAAGUAAAGCGACUCAAAGUCGCAUCUAUUUUGUACAGUGAUUCUCAAACAACCAUUUCAGCUUCUUUACCGUUACUAGGAAUCCCAAUGUCCAACCUCAUUGUUGUUUUAUACUCUGCAGGCACUUCAGCCCCACAUUGAAUGCACAGCUCCACAACUACAGGAGCCUUCCCAUAGAAGCUUUUCAGUUCACGUUUCAAUUGUUGCCCACUCCCGUCAGGGAGAUGCCACACGAAUCUUGGUGGUAUCAGGUCGUUCAGCACCGCAGCCUGCCAACCAUGCUGCCCGUUUCGUUGCAGGUGCUUGUGUGCUCCCCAGAUUUGCACCUUGUGCCUACAUGGACUUCCGGACAGUACCCGCAGACUCUUACGGGAUACAUUUUCCUAAGUCUGUUACAACCUUUCGUCAUUUUCUCCGAAGCCGCUAAGGUCUCUUCGGAAAGCAAGGUUGUUUCUUCUUGACUAGACGGAGCAAAGACUUCUGAGUCUGGUAUCUCUGUCAACAGUGGCUUCAGAGGAGGUUCGGGGACUGGAUCAAGAAGUUCGCUUUCGUCUGGAUCAGGAAGACGCGUAUUGAGGAUAAAAAAGAACAGAGGUUUUACUUUUACCAGGCUGUCGACAGAAAAUUGACAAGGGGAUAAGAGUAAUAAGACUGAGUAGUAGUUGGCUGCUUAAUGGUUGUAUGAAGCAUGGCAUUAAUGAUAUGUGUCUUCUGGGUGGUUCUUCUCUGAUGAUUUGGAUCAGACUUUGCACAGGUCCACCUUUUUCCGAAUAGCGAAAUCGACAAUUUUAUAUUAAAAUUUUACAAUUUUACGAUUUCGUUAGUGUCUAAAUAUUAUGAUUUCACUUAAAAAUCAAUAAUUAGUAGAAUCAGAUAAAAUCUCAAUUAACAUCUUAAAAUUUUAUAAAUCAAUAAUUUUAUUUAUUNNNNNNNNNNNNNNNNNNNNNNNNNNNNNNNNNNNNNNNNNNNNNNNNNNNNNNNNNNNNNNNNNNNNNNNNNNNNNNNNNNNNNNNNNNNNNNNNNNNNNNNNNNNNNNNNNNNNNNNNNNNNNNNNNNNNNNNNNNNNNNNNNNNNNNNNNNNNNNNNNNNNNNNNNNNNNNNNNNNNNNNNNNNNNNNNNNNNNNNNNNNNNNNNNNNNNNNNNNNNNNNNNNNNNNNNNNNNNNNNNNNNNNNNNNNNNNNNNNNNNNNNNNGAUUGUCACUCUUGACUUUGUUUAACGAACUUAAUCAACAUCUAACUAUUUUAUCAACGUUUCGAUAUUUAUUAUUAUAAAAUCUUACGAUUUCACGACUACAAUUUUUCGUCACUAAAUUAACGAUUUCACUACUAUAAUAUAAACCAUCAUAUCAUACACCAGAGUCAACUCAAUCCAUACGGCCGGGAUUGAACAGUUGGAAAAAGAUAAGCCAAUGAGAAACAGUUCCACAAGUCUCUAUAUAAACACACACAAUACAUAAUUACACUUCUCCCAAGCCCCUCUGUUUCUCUCACUCCAAGCACUAGCAGCUAGCCAUACAGAAACCAAAACAGCAACAAUGGCUGUUUCAAGAAGCAGCCAUUGUCGUCGUCACUUCUCUUAUUGCUACAACUACAAUCAUAAUAAUAAUAAUAAUAACCUAGUCCUAAUUCCCUUUUCAUUGUUCUUCCUCCUCAUCUCUACUUGUAACUCUGCCGCCGCCGGGCUAACGACGAGAGAGCAGGACCAUGACAGAAUCUCCUCUCUUCCCGGUCAGCCGCCGGUGGCAUUCUCACAAUUCUCCGGCUACGUCACGGUCAACGAAGAACACGGGCGUGCAUUGUUCUACUGGCUCACCGAAGCUCCACCUUCUUCAAAUCCCAAGCCACUACUCCUCUGGCUCAAUGGAGGUCGCUCACUCACUUCUUUCAUCUAUCAUCAUUCAUGGCCACAAAACGUCUAUCCUUGCAUUAUUCAUUUCUGACUUGCUUCCAUACUCCAAAAUAUAGGAUCAGCCCCAAAUUUAUGCUAGCAUUUCCUUCUACUAUUACAAUUUUUUUUGUCGAACUAGACCUACACAGUAGAUUCUCGAUCAAUAUAAGAUAGGAGACAAUAAACCUCCGAGUCAAAAAACACAAAUAAUCAAUUAGUAUUUAGUCCCCGAAUCCUUCCACUAAUAUUUUUUUUUUGUUUUUUGCAAGAGUAAAUAGUUAUAUAGCACUUCCUUCUAGUCUUACUACAUGUCAAACAAAGUAGUAAAUUGAUUGCUUUGCUUGAAAAUCCAGUUUCCUUCAGUUUGACCAGGGAAAUAAUAACUGUGAUGAAGGUCAUCUGGGUUUAAUUUGUAUGGGGAAUUGCUACAAACUUUUUUCUUUUUGGAUGUGGACUGCAAUCAAUAAUUAAUGUUGCCCACCAAACCAAAAGUUAAAUAAAUAAAUAAAUAAUAAAAUGCUUUUGUAUACUUCAUUCAUGAUUACUAUAGUUUUACACCAUUGCACUUGGUUCAGCCUCUGUUGACUGAAGCCAUGUGGUGGAUGAGGUAGGACACCGCAGAUAAUGCCUGUUAUGUCAUUAUCAGAAUUUUGGGGGAGUGGGAUGGGAAGGAAACAAAAGAAGGGUGAUGAACAAAGUAAAGCUUUCACAUGUGUACAAACAACAAGUUACAGAGUAUAAUACUUCACACCUCUCGUGAUCUCUCUGUUUAUUUCUUCCUUUCUUCUUGACCCAUGAUGAUGAUGAUGAUGAACAAGAUGAUCACCUCUUAUUCCUUCUUCUUCUUCUUCCAUUUAAAAAUAAAAUUUGUGUCGCAAAAGUGUUUGAACUUUUCCAUUUUGUCCCACCAAAAAGGAAACUUUUUGCUGUAUGUUGUCCUUUGUAUUUGGUUCCUUCUCUUUUCACCUUUGUGGUGGGUAUUGUAUUUCAAGUUGACCUUCAAAGUUAGUUGUCGUAGCAUUGCAAUCAUAUAUAUAGAAAUGGUGGAUGGAAGCACUCCUACUGUUCACUUUGGUUCUUCUGUUUGAAUUUGAAGCACGCGCAUAGCAGCAGCAGCAGCAGCAAACAAACAGUGCAGAAUGGGGCAUAAAAGGGCUAAUGAUAUUGUUUCAUGACCCAGAAAUGGAGGAACCAAAACCCCACAUCCCCAAAUCUAAUCAUCAUUACUCCAACGAAUGUAGUAAUGAUUACUCGUAUUUAACACACCUACCCUAACUCAACACCUCAAACAAGUUGUGGUCGAGUGGUUGUAGCACCUGACUUAACACAUCUAACGGGUCAUAGUCUAGUGGACUAGAAGUAACGAAAAGUUGAAAUGAAAAAUUGCAGGGCCAGGGUGUUCAUCAGUGGCAUAUGGAGCAUCAGAAGAGAUUGGUCCCUUCAGGAUUAACAAAACUACAUCUACCCUCUUUCUCAACAAAUAUUCCUGGAACAGAGGUAAUUUUCAAACUUUGGUGUCAACAUCAUCCACAAAAGCAGUUUCUGAAACAAAAUAUUUGUGCUUACAGAAGCAAAUAUUCUGUUCCUGGAAUCACCUGCUGGAGUUGGAUUUUCCUACACAAACACAACCUCUAACCUCAAAGAUUCUGGAGAUGCAAGGACAUGUAUGUCGCCUAUAUAUAUAUUCCCAUGACCUCACUAUUAUUCUUUUUUUUGUUUGUUUACCCAACUGAAACUUUUAACUGGGUUAUAUUUUUUUAACAGCUCAGGAUGCUUUGAUUUUCCUCCUUAAAUGGAUGUCAAGAUUCCCGCAGUACAAAUUCAGAGACUUCUACAUUGCUGGGGAAAGUUAUGCUGGUAUAUAUUAAUAACUCAUUCAAUUUUUAACCAGCAUUUGAUUCCUAGUAACCAAAUUCAAAUCCUGCUAGGGCAUUAUGUACCCCAGCUAGCUAAGAGAAUCCACGAUUACAACAAAGCACACCCCAAUCCCAUCAUCAACCUCAAAGGAAUCAUGGUAAUUAAUUAUUGUAAAGAUAUUUACUUCUUUGUUAUAUCUGUUAAUGUUGGUUGUAAAAGUUUCGAAACUCGUUACAAUAACUUACUUUUUACAGUUGGGAAACGCUGUGACGGAUAAUUACUACGACGGGAUUGGAACCGUGACAUAUUGGUGGAGUCACUCCAUGAUCUCGGAUCGAUCUUACAGAUCGAUCCUCGAUCACUGCGAUUUCGGGGAGGAUAAGACGUCGACAAAAUGUGACAAUGCAGUGAGCUACGCCAUGAACAGGGAGUUUGGCGACAUUGAUCAGUACAGCAUUUACACGCCGUCUUGUUUGCAUCCCAAGAGCGGAGAGAACGGCACAACGAGCAGCAGCAGGUUUCUCAGGAUGAAGAAUACGGUACUGCAUCGGCCGAUUUCAGGCUAUGAUCCGUGUACUGAGAGCUAUGCCGAGAAGUAUUACAAUCGGCCAGAUGUUCAGAGGGCUAUGCAUGCUAAUGUGACUGGGAUGAUCCCAUACAAAUGGACUGCUUGCAGGUACACAAAUUUUUAUUCCAGCUUUGUAGUUGGACCAAAAUGGUAUAAAUUUAAGUUUGAUGCUAAGAUUGAACUUCUAUAGAAAUAUGAGGAUGAAGAAAAGAAGUUAUGAAUUGGAUGCAGUGAUAUACUGAUUAAGUACUGGAAGGACUCAGAUGCAUCAAUGUUGCCGACAUACAAGGAGCUGAUUGCUGCUGGUUUGAGGAUCUGGGUUUUCAGGUAUAUAUAAUCCUCAUUAUUUUCAGCCUUUCACGUCAAAAUUAUCCAAUCUUUUUGUGAAUUUUACACUUCAUUUUUCACCAAUAAACAUUAAAUGGUCAAUUUCACGAGAGCUGUCGAAGAAUCGAAUCGAGCCAAAUUUUGUCUUGCUCGAGCUCGUUCGCUCGCUUGAAAUAGUAGCUCGAGCUUGACUUGGCAAAAUAAUUCUUAGCUCGAGCUCGGCUUGGCUUGACUCGAGCUCGACUCGUUUAGAGGCCUUAACGAGUUCGAGCUCGGCUCGUUUACAGUUCUUAACCAUACAAGUUAAAUUUUGAGUUAGACUCGGAUAAACUUAUAAAAAAAUUAUAUUAUUCUAAAAAGGACACGACUCAUAUGGUCCAAAUAAGUAAUUAAUCAUUAAAAUGAGUUUUGAUAAGUAAUAAAUCAUUAAGAUAGAAUCAUUCAUCACUACUGUACUCUUAUUUUUUAAAAUAAAAAAAGAAAAUUCAAAUCAUUGAAAUAUAUAAAACCAAUUCACGAGCUACACUAAUCCAGGCAACGAACGAGCCUCAGUUGAGCUGGCAAUCGAGCCAGCUUUGAACUUUAAUCUAACUAGUACUCGAGCCUCAAACGAGCCGAAUUGGCUCCCGAGACUACAGAGCUGAGUUAGGGUCAACUCGAGCUCAAUUUUUUUAUUAUCGAACCGGCUCAUUUAAGAUCGAGUCAAGUUUCAUAAGAUGCUGACUCAGUAGCCCUUCACUUCACGUAAUGAGUCAACUUCUUUUGCACCAUUCAAUUAAUCAUGUGUGGGGUUUUGACCCAGUCUUUGUUUGUUUGUACUGUGAAGCCAUCACACCAUCAUUAUGAAGCUUCUGUGUAAAUAUCGUGACAGAGAUUAUCAGUCAACUUGUUCUUCUUUUUUACUGUGGCAUUAAGACUGUCGGUUGGGAGAAUUUCACAACAGUGCUUUUUUUCCUGUAAAAAAAUGCACUUUGUGUGUAUGGUUGGUAAUCUGCUGUACUUGAAUGCCCACUUCCAUGUACUUGAGUUAAUAUUUUAACAAAAAAUGUGAUUUUUUGUAUGUUUUUGACAGUGGGGAUACAGAUUCAGUAGUUCCAGUUACAGCCACAAGGUUCUCCCUCAGCCAUCUAAACCUGACUGUCAAAACCAGAUGGUAUCCAUGGAAAUCUGGAAACCAGGUGGGAACAAAAUCGCAAAUCACAAAUUACAAAAGUUUGAGUUUUUAAGGUACCCUAAGAUUUGAUUUAUUGGUUUAGGUUGGGGGAUGGACAGAAGAGUAUGAAGGGCUGACAUUUGCAACAGUGAGGGGAGCAGGGCAUGAAGUUCCUUUAUUUCAACCAAGAAGGGCUUUCAUUCUUUUCACAUCUUUCUUGGCUGGCAAACAACUACCAAGAUCUUCUUGACAUUUUCAGCUCCACCAGCUACCACUCAUUUAUGUAUAAGCAGACAAGUGAACCCCCAAACAAGAAAACCUGCUAGAUAUUUCUAUCCCAUGGCUACUCAAAGAAGAAGAGUUAUGGGGUAUUAUAGCUAGGUAGCAAAUGCAAUUCAGGGUUCAUUCAUUCACAAAUAUUGAUGUUGUUUAGUACCUGCAUCGUGUCCAAUUCAUUUCUGAUUGAUUCCGAGGUCAAAGAAAAUGUGAUUAUUUGUGAAACCAUGUUGAUUAUCAAUCCAAUUAGGGCCAGCAAUGGUCCCCAUAGCACAAACACAAAUUUCUGGAAGCAAUCACUUUUUUCAUUUAUUGGGAGUUGGGAAAAGAUACUUGAGUCACUACUUUACUUACUCAGAUUUAAUGUACAUGAUGAUUGAGGUGAAGAAACUGUUGACAUGUUUAUAUCCAGGGUACAAUUCAAUCUCUAAGGGUUCCAUUGCAGAAAACUGAACAUAGCAGCACUCAUCCACCUUUCUUUACUUCAAACCCUCACCAAGACCUGGAGGCAUUCCUAAGCUUUGGGCAAGGUCACCCAUUCGCUCCUUCAUGGCCUGACAAAGCCAUCAGAAGAGUACUUUUCAGUUGGGGUUACAAGUGUUGGCACGAAAUUAUGCAGAAAAGUAGAGGGAGAUGCUUACCAGGACGCUCUUUUGGUGUGCAUCCUUGUAUGCCUCCGUGACAAGAAGUGAGAGCUUCUGCAGCAGAAACAAACCAUUUUUGUCUUUCAAUUUGAUCAUUGAUUGUUUCUAAUAGAGUAUAAGCAGCAACUUCCAGUUUCCCAGUAAUGACAAGCUGUAAAGUAAUACGCUUUGGACAUCUAGCCACUAGAGACAGUAAGUGAAACAUAGCUGGUUGGUUAGCACUCACCUCUGAACCUAAUUCCAUGGCAGCCUCAGUAAUCUCUGUGCGAACAGGCUGUUGGUUACCGGAUAGUGUCACCUGCAAGUAACAUCCCAGCGAAAGUUAGGAUUAUUUAAUUGUAUCCCCGCAGCUAUCAGCUUAAUAGACUAGAAAGAUCAGAAAAUUUCAAACUAUCUCAAUCGCCAAAGACCAGAGAUAAAACACAAGAAGGUAUGAAGACUCUUACAGCUAGAAAGAUGUGUUAAAAGACUUGAAUAGAGAGAUGCAGGUGAAAUAGCAUACCUUGAUUAGUUCACCUUCACAAUAACCAUCAAACUCUGCACUGUAAAAAAACAGAAGAGACGCGCAAAAAGGCCCCAACUGAGUAAUACACAUGACAGAAACAAACCGAAAAAGCUGAGCAGGUGUCGUGUUCUUACGCAGCAAGUUCCUUUUGCACCCGAACCGCCUCAACUUGGACAACCAUCUGUGCCUUCUUCACCGUCCCAAACAGGUUCUCUGCCUUCUUCACCGUCUCAUACAGGUUCUGCAUAUUCCCCAGCAUUCCUGUCUAAAAUUAAUUGAGUAUCAACAUUGUUAAUCCUGGAGAAAAGCACCACAGUUGUUAUUGUUAGAAGGAUAACACAAAACCAGCUCAAAACGAAGUCCUAGUUAAAGAUAAAGAACUCUACUUUAUCAAAGCACCGGGGAGACCUAUCUAACUGUUUGUUUCUCCUCCAAUUCAGGGGCAUACACCAUACUGUCGGGUGGGAUCUCACAUUUUCAAUAUAAUUCAAAACCGUGACUUGUCAAAGAAGUGAAACAGAUUGAAGAUCCAAGAAAAUAGCUUAUAUACACAAAGGUUUCGUACAAUGAUCAACAAGAGAAGAAGCAUUAACAAGUCCAACCUUUGAAGAUGCAUCAUCGCCAUCUUUCUUCCCACCAAAUAGACCAUUGACUCGGAGUGAUUGACGCUGACGUUGUUUGCUCGGCCAGGAUACAGUCAAAUUACCAACUGAAGUUGCAUUUAGUUUCGCUGAAACAAAGCAGCUCAAUAAAUUUCCAUUGCUGAUGGGUCUUUUCCCUCACAUUAUGAUCAUCUCUUCACAUAAAUCAAUUAGUUUUCACCGCAUUUCAUCAAAUAAUAACUACACUAGUCUUUCUAUAAAUCCUAGCUCCGUUCUGAUCGCAAGCAGGAUGUUCCUCGACCUAAAUCCGCAUUCAGUUCAAUCCCUUUAGAGAUCCCAGAAUCGCAGAAAUGUAUCACGUUCCCUCAGCUUAAAAGAAACUAAAAGUUUGCCAUCAAAAUGAGAAAAAAAGUAUCCAAAAAGGAAGGUACCUGCAGGCAUGGAUGAAGCAGGGCAAGUUCUCCCAACGCAGAGUCCGUUGACGUUGGCCAGCUGAGCUGCCAUCGCGCUCGUCGAUGCCGUUUGCAAUUUCUUCGGCGAGGAAAGAAAUGAAUAGAGGGAAUUUUUUCCUUCUGAAGGAUAAGGUUCGUGGUUUUGCUCUGGUUCCGGUGUAGCUAGCAAUUCCACAGUAAGAUUUGGGCCUAUGUCUAAGCCCAAUUGGAUACGGAGGCCGAAGCGAAAUCGCUACUAGGAUUUGUUUGAUUCGUUGACUUAAAUAGUUCCGAAGGUUUAAUUCAAUUUUUAAUCAGGUCUUUAGGUCAAAAAAUUUAUCGACACAGUUCAGAGCGUUAUUUCCGUCUCAUUUCCAUCUCCACAUCAUCUGAAAUUUUUGUUCAAUUCGCCACAUGGAUUGUCCACAUCAAUGCAGAUAUUUUGAUUAGAAUGAAUCGAAUCAAAUAAAAAACCAAAACCAUUUAUAUAUGGUCCGUACAACUCCAUACAAAAUUAUACAUUUGGAGUUUUUAUAAAUCCAUAAAGAAAUAUAUAGACAUUUGUAUAGUUUUUGUACAAUAUUAUACUUAAUAUUACACUAACUAUAAAUAAUAUUUGAUACCAUAUUUAAGGUAAAUUUUUCUAAACAUAAUUAAAUAAAAAAUUACAUAAAUAAUCAAGCCAAACCUAAAUUAAAAAAAUAAGCAAUUAUUGAGACAAACCAAUUUUUCACUUUAACUCCACAAUUUUUGCGUGAUUGCACUUUAGUUACUCAAUUAUUANNNNNNNNNNNNNNNNNNNNNNNNNNNNNNNNNNNNNNNNNNNNNNNNNNNNNNNNNNGCCAAUCGGUUAAAAUGCACUAAACCAAUUAAAAUGUGAGCUCAAUCCACAAUCAUCCAAUUUAAAAUCUGUUACGGUUAACCCAAACUCAGCCCAGAUACGGAUUGAGCUGACAUUUAAACUGAUUUAGUGCAUUUUAACCACUUUCGUAAUUGUUUGACGCCAUCCUAACUCUCCGUAANNNNNNNNNNNNNNNNNNNNNACUUAAUUAUUUAUAUAAUUUUAUUUAAUUAUAUUAAAAUUAAUUUAUAUUUAAUACAUAUAGCUUUAAAAUACCAAUUGUAUCCUGUAUUUUUGGACGGCCGAUAUUUAUCCGUGCAUUCUUGAUCGAAUUCAAGAGUAAUUUCUGUGGCUCCACAUUUGCACUCCUCUUUCUGCUCAGCUGGAAUUCCAUCUUUCAUCCCAACUUAACAACACUGUCAUCCUCUCUCUCUCUACAACACUACUUCUCCAAUCGUUUCUCUCUUCAUCCGUCCUCCGACUCGAUCUGAUCCACCGCCAUGGUCAGACCUAUCUCCCUCCUCGCUUUCCUCUCCCUGCUCUCCCUCUUCUCCUUCCUCCUACUCCUUCAAUCUCCCUCCUCUGCCGUCGCCGAUUCCCAAUUUGAAGGCUUCGACGCCGAUGAUGACGAUGCCAUCGAGGAGCCUCUCGAUCCUUCCUCUUUCAAGCUCAACGAUCUCCCUUUGACCCAGACUGAAUCCCUAUCCACCUCAGAUCCCAAUCCUUCCUCAGCUUCCGAUCACCCCA
Molecule: long non-coding RNA, 13616 nt
Filed under: Linum usitatissimum (flax)
Lineage: Eukaryota; Viridiplantae; Streptophyta; Magnoliopsida; Malpighiales; Linaceae
Description: long non-coding RNA (LUSI_LNC007994)
Source: RNAcentral